Molecule: ribosomal RNA, 444 nt
Filed under: uncultured bacterium
Lineage: Bacteria
Description: bacterial SSU rRNA
Rfam family: Bacterial small subunit ribosomal RNA
Source: RNAcentral
UCCAGACUCCUCGGGAGGCAGCAGUGGGGGAUAUUGCACGAUGGGGGGAACCCUGAUGCAGCGACGCCGCGUGAGCGAUGAAGUAUUUCGGUAUGUAAAGCUCUAUCAGCAGGGAAGAAAAUGACGGUACCUGACUAAGAAGCCCCGGCUAACUACGUGCCAGCAGCCGCGGUAAUACGUAGGGGGCAAGCGUUAUCCGGAUUUACUGGGUGUAAAGGGAGCGUAGACGGCUGUGCAAGUCUGAAGUGAAAGGCACGGGCUCAACCUUUGGACUGCUUUGGAAACUGUGCAGCUAGAGUGUCGGAGAGGCAAGUGGAAUUCCUAGUGUAGCGGUGAAAUGCGUAGAUAUUAGGAGGAACACCAGUGGCGAAGGCGGCCUGCUGGACGAUGACUGACGUUGAGGCUCGAAAGCGUGGGGAGCAAACAGGAUUAGAUACCCCUGUA